This 441-nucleotide ribosomal RNA is filed under the name uncultured bacterium. Its description in RNAcentral is "partial 16S ribosomal RNA". It matches the Rfam family "Bacterial small subunit ribosomal RNA", at positions 377 to 795 of the family's 1533-position model. The record is from RNAcentral.
CCUCCUUUGUUCCUCCUUUUUUCCUCUUUCCCCCUUUUGUCCCCCCUGCUGCCGCCACGCCGCGUGAAGGAAGACGGUUUUCGGAUUGUAAACUUCUGUUCUUAGUGAAGAAUAAUGACGGUAGCUAAGGAGCAAGCCACGGCUAACUACGUGCCAGCAGCCGCGGUAAUACGUAGGUGGCAAGCGUUGUCCGGAAUUACUGGGUGUAAAGGGAGCGCAGGCGGGAAGUCAAGUCAGCUGUGAAAACUACGGGCUUAACUUGUAGACUGCAGUUGAAACUGGUUUUCUUGAGUGAAGUAGAGGUUGGCGGAAUUCCGAGUGUAGCGGUGAAAUGCGUAGAUAUUCGGAGGAACACCGGUGGCGAAGGCGGCCAACUGGGCUUUAACUGACGCUGAGGCUCGAAAGUGUGGGGAGCAAACAGGAUUAGAUACCCGAGUAGUC